This 870-nucleotide ribosomal RNA is filed under the name uncultured Streptococcus sp. Its description in RNAcentral is "bacterial SSU rRNA". It matches the Rfam family "Bacterial small subunit ribosomal RNA", at positions 32 to 885 of the family's 1533-position model. Lineage: Bacteria; Bacillati; Bacillota; Bacilli; Lactobacillales; Streptococcaceae. The record is from RNAcentral.
AACGCUGGCGGCGUGCCUAAUACAUGCAAGUAGAACGCUGAAGAGGGGAGCUUGCUCUUCUUGGAUGAGUUGCGAACGGGUGAGUAACGCGUAGGUAACCUGCCUUGUAGCGGGGGAUAACUAUUGGAAACGAUAGCUAAUACCGCAUAACAAUGGGUGACACAUGUCAUUUAUUUGAAAGGGGCAAUUGCUCCACUACAAGAUGGACCUGCGUUGUAUUAGCUAGUAGGUGAGGUAACGGCUCACCUAGGCGACGAUACAUAGCCGACCUGAGAGGGUGAUCGGCCACACUGGGACUGAGACACGGCCCAGACUCCUACGGGAGGCAGCAGUAGGGAAUCUUCGGCAAUGGGGGCAACCCUGACCGAGCAACGCCGCGUGAGUGAAGAAGGUUUUCGGAUCGUAAAGCUCUGUUGUAAGUCAAGAACGAGUGUGAGAGUGGAAAGUUCGCACUGUGACGGUAGCUUACCAGAAAGGGACGGCUAACUACGUGCCAGCAGCCGCGGUAAUACGUAGGUCCCGAGCGUUGUCCGGAUUUAUUGGGCGUAAAGCGAGCGCAGGCGGUUUGAUAAGUCUGAAGUUAAAGGCUGUGGCUCAACCAUAGUUCGCUUUGGAAACUGUCAAACUUGAGUGCAGAAGGGGAGAGUGGAAUUCCAUGUGUAGCGGUGAAAUGCGUAGAUAUAUGGAGGAACACCGGUGGCGAAAGCGGCUCUCUGGUCUGUAACUGACGCUGAGGCUCGAAAGCGUGGGGAGCGAACAGGAUUAGAUACCCUGGUAGUCCACGCCGUAAACGAUGAGUGCUAGGUGUUGGAUCCUUUCCGGGAUUCAGUGCCGCAGCUAACGCAUUAAGCACUCCGCCUGGGAGUACGA